CGCAACCCGAAGGCGCAGUUAAAUACGAACCGGACCGGAUAUCCUUCCUUUUGGGAUCGACAUCGAAAGGAGCAGGACGGUGAGCCGAGCUGCUCCCUAUCAAAUCGCAGCAUUAGGAUGCCUUUUUGGCGAUUAGACGACCGGAGAAGCCGUGUUUGUUACGAAGCACCGGUGAAGACCAUAUGCUACAAUACUGGCCAGUACACCUGAUAAGAUAAACCAGACAAACCAUGUCUGCUUCAUCAUGUAACUGAUACUUGGUUGGCAGAAAUAAUGGAUGGAAAACGUGAACAUUUGCUUCAAGUCUUCAAUAAGCGGUCGGAUUGAUGGACAGAAGAAAGAAACUCACAUCCACACUCAUUCAAGGGAUGGCUGGACGUUGAAGACUCAUUUAAGCACACAGCUGGACCUGUUUAAAGCUGCUAUUUGGACUGCUUUGCAUAUGAAAAGUAUUUAAAAUAAAUUGUACCCCUUUUAAUUUG
Dunckerocampus dactyliophorus (ringed pipefish) is the source of this 482-nucleotide long non-coding RNA. RefSeq lists it as uncharacterized. Lineage: Eukaryota; Metazoa; Chordata; Actinopteri; Syngnathiformes; Syngnathidae. The transcript has 7 exons. The record is from RefSeq and is a predicted model, not a curated record.